CUGUAGGGAUUUGUUGGGGUGAAAUGAAGUGGAUGUGUGUGUCAAUACCACCAGCAGUUACGAUCAAACCUUCACCGGCUAAGGCUUCAGUAGCAGGACCUACGCUAAGAUUGUUUUUAACGCCAUCUUGCAUGUCUUUGUUACCGCCUUUACCAAUGCCAGCGAUUUUGCCAUCUUUAAUACCAAUAUCCGCUUUAUAAAUACCGGUGUAAUCCACGAUUAAAGCGUUAGUGAUGAUUAGAUCCAAUUCUUCUUUGCUAGGGUUGUUGGAUUGGCUCAUGCCUUCUCUCAG
Molecule: small RNA, 292 nt
Organism: Helicobacter pylori 26695
Lineage: Bacteria; Pseudomonadati; Campylobacterota; Epsilonproteobacteria; Campylobacterales; Helicobacteraceae
Rfam family: 5' ureB small RNA
Source: Rfam